GGCGGCGCGCNAACACAUGCUAGUCGAACNAGAACGGAUUCAGCAAUGGGUCCUACUAAAGUGGCGUACGGGUGAGUAACACGUGGGUAAUCUACUCUCAAGUGGGGGAUAACCCGGGGAAACCUGGGCUAAUACCGCAUAAUAUCCGCAAGGAUCAAAGGAGAAAUUCGCUAGAGAAUGAGCCCGCGGUCGAUUAGCUAGUUGGCGGGGUAAUGGCCCACCAAGGCUUUGAUCGAUAGCCGGUCUGAGAGGACGCACGGCCACACUGGAACUGAAACACGGUCCAGACUCCUACGGGAGGCAGCAGUGGGGAAUCUUGCACAAUGGGGGAAACCCUGAUGCAGCGACGCCGCGUGGGUGAUGAAGCUCUUCGGAGUGUAAAGCCCUUUCGGCAGGGAAGAGAAAAGACGGUACCUGCAAAAGAAGCCCCGGCUAACUACGUGCCAGCAGCCGCGGUAAUACGUAGGGGGCUAGCGUUGUUCGGAAUUACUGGGCGUAAA
This 500-nucleotide ribosomal RNA is filed under the name uncultured bacterium. Its description in RNAcentral is "bacterial SSU rRNA". It matches the Rfam family "Bacterial small subunit ribosomal RNA", at positions 38 to 564 of the family's 1533-position model. The record is from RNAcentral.